UUGUUUGUUUGUAAAGACUCAGAAGAUACGAAAUGGCAAGAGUUUGUAGUGCUGGCGGACACGAGGCAGAGCCAAGCGAGGCCCCGUCCCACGGGGCUGCCCGCCAAAGCACGAUUCCCACAGGUAGGUAGACAGUGGUUGGAGCGCUAGACUCGUAAUGAUCCCUCCGCUGGUUCACCAACGGAGA
Molecule: unclassified non-coding RNA, 187 nt
Filed under: uncultured fungus
Lineage: Eukaryota; Fungi
Description: sequence contains ITS1
Source: RNAcentral